RNAcentral lists this ribosomal RNA (705 nucleotides) under Triticum aestivum (bread wheat). Its description in RNAcentral is "partial small subunit ribosomal RNA". The record is from RNAcentral. Lineage: Eukaryota; Viridiplantae; Streptophyta; Magnoliopsida; Poales; Poaceae.
AUGUUGCGUAUGAAGUGUGGUCUGAAAGAUAGCGUAUAUGUCACUGUAGAAGAAAAGGUUGCUAUGUUCUUGUUGGUCGUUGGACAUGGUAUUAAAAUGAGAGUGUUGCGUGGCACUUACAAGCGUUCUUUAGAGACUAUCAGUAGGCACUUCUCGAAUGUGUUGACAGCCAUUCUUUCCCUAACCGGGGAGUUUAUCAAGCUUCCCGAUCCUUCUAUUGAACCUCCCGAUGAUUACAAAUGGAAGUGGUUUGGAAAUGCCUUGGGAGCACUAGAUGGGUGUCAUGUUGAUGUUUCUGUCGUUGCGGCUGACGAAGGGAGGUAUAGGAACAGAAAGCAAGAUAUCACCACUAACAUGCUAGGUGUUGUUGACUGGAACAUGAAAUUUCUUUAUGUUCUACCUGGCUGGGAGGGAUCUGCAUCUGACUCCAGAGCGUUGCAUUAUGCAAUGAGAAAUGAUCGUCAAGAUGCAUUUGUUAUACCUCAUGGAAAAUACUACUUAGUGGAUGCUGGCUACACCAAUGGACCUGGCUUUCUGGCUCCAUUCAGAUCGACUAGGUACCACUUGAAAGAGUGGGUCUCAAGUCAACAACAACAACCCGAAACUGACAAAGAGUUGUAUAACUUGCGCCAUUCUCGGGCUAGAAAUGUUGUGGAGAGAACUUGUGGCCUAUGGAAGAAAAAAUGGGCCAUUCUACGAAUUUAA